GGCCUUCCCUCCCGGUGCUCUUCACCCUUUACCAAAGAGACAAGCACUUGAAAAAAGCAACGGAGCCAGCACGGUCUUCAACCCCAGCGUCUUGCACUACCAGCAGGCUUUGACCAGUGCGCAGUUGCAGCAACACACGGCGUUCAUUCCCACAGUACCCAUGAUGCACAGCGCUACGUCCGCCACUGUCUCUGCAGCAACAACUCCUGCAACAAGUGUCCCCUUCGCAGCAACAGCCACAGCCAAUCAGAUAAUUCUGAAAUAAUCAACAGAAAUGGAAUGGAAUGCCAAGAAUCUGCAUUGAGAAUAACUAAACAUUGUUACUGUACAUACUAUCCCCUUUGCUCCUCAAUAGAAUUGCCACAAACUGCAUGCUAAAUUUAGUUCUUCCGGACAGACCGCAACCCUAAGGCUAGUUCUGCUAUGUCAUAUACGAGUAUUAAAUAUGGUAUGCUUAGUAUAUUCCAGCCUAAGAUAGUUAACUACCUGAGACCAGCUGCGAUGUUCAAAGACAUACAGGAUGAGGUUUUCUUUUACAGGGUUCUGAGCGUAGUUUCUGUCCCAGGAAUAUUGUCUUAUCUCCAUAACUAUAGCCGAUGCAGAAAGCCCACCCAGUAUACACAUUUCGACUCAGAAUACUUCAAAUUUAGCAAUAAGCAGUUAGCUUUAGUUUAAGUACCUAUUCCAAGGGCAGGUUCGAUUCUAAUUCCAAUCACCACCAUUUCAUUUCCUGACUGGAUCAUAAGGGUAUGAUUUCACUUCCUGAGGAGACGGACACUCGAAGCAGGAGACGGGAAGUGAAGUAAAACACGCACCUGCCUCGCAGGUCUAAAAUCUGAGUGGCAGUUCAAGCACAGUUGCCGGGGACACAUCAAGAGUGUGGGGUUCGCUUUGCCAGGAGAUGCCACACUGAAUCAUGGGAUUCUAGAAUAACAUUGCAUAGAUCGAAAAAAAAAAAAAAAAAAA
RNAcentral lists this long non-coding RNA (966 nucleotides) under Rattus norvegicus (Norway rat). Its description in RNAcentral is "long non-coding RNA NONRATT010685". The record is from RNAcentral. Lineage: Eukaryota; Metazoa; Chordata; Mammalia; Rodentia; Muridae.